This 775-nucleotide ribosomal RNA is filed under the name uncultured Neocallimastigales. Its description in RNAcentral is "partial large subunit ribosomal RNA". It matches the Rfam family "Eukaryotic large subunit ribosomal RNA", at positions 22 to 635 of the family's 3401-position model. The record is from RNAcentral. Lineage: Eukaryota; Fungi; Neocallimastigomycota; Neocallimastigomycetes; Neocallimastigales.
GUACACGCUGUGACUAGCAUAUCAAUAAGCGGAGGAAAAGGAAACUAACAAGGAUUCCCCUAGUAACGGCGAGUGAAGCGGGAAGAGCUCAAAUUUGAAAUCUUAAAGGGUUUCCCUUUACGAAUUGUAGUUUAAAGAAGUGUUUUCUGUUGAGGUUUUGGUAAAAGUUCUUUGGAAUAGGACAUCAUAGAGGGUGAGAAUCCCGUAUUUGACCUUUACUUUCAACUUUGUGAUACACUUUCAAAGAGUCGGAUUGUUUGGGAAUGCAGUCCAAAAUGGGCGGUAAAUUUCAUCUAAAGCUAAAUAUUGGCGAGAGACCGAUAGCGAACAAGUACCGUGAGGGAAAGAUGAAAAGAACUUUGAAAAGAGAGUUAAACAGUACGUGAAAUUGUCAAAAGGGAAGCGUUUGACACCAGUGUUGUUUUUCUGAAAAUCAAUUAAAGAACUGUUUAUGCUAAGUUGUUUAGACUUUAUCAGCUAACUGUUUAGUUUUGAGCUUUUCUUUAAUGCACUUUUCAGUUAACAAGUCAACAUCAAUUUCUUUUGCUGUAAAAAAGCUUGAGGAAGGUGGCUUGAGAUUCGUCUUAAGUGUUUAUAGCCUCUUGCCUAUGCAGUCGGAGAGAUUGAGGUCUGCAGCGUAGAUCCUUCGGGGCUAAAUGCAUUUGUGCUAAGUUAUAGCAUUUUAUAGACAACUUGUUGACUAUGAUUUGUCUUGUAGCUUACUCGCUUAUGUUAUUUUACCUACGCUUAGGAUGUUGAAGAUGUAGCACAUCAU